GAUUAGAGUUUGAUCCUGGCUCAGGAUUAACGCUGGCGGUGUGUAUAAUACAUGCAAGUCGAGCGCCCUGGACUUUGUUUCCAAUUAUUUGGAGAUAGGGUCCAGGGAGCGGCGGACGGGUGAGUAACACGUUGGUAACUACCUCGAAAUCAGGGAUAAGCCCUAGAAAUAGGGUCUAAUACCGGAUGGUCCCGAAAGGGUAAAGCAGCAAUGCGUUUCGAGAGGUGCCUGCGGCCUAUCAGUUAGUUGGCGAGGUAAUGGCUCACCAAGACUAUGACGGGUAGCUGGUCUGAGAGGACGAUCAGCCACAAUGGGACUGAGACACGGCCCAUACUCCUACGGGAGGCAGCAGUAAGGAAUCUUUCGCAAUGGGGGAAACCCUGACGAAGCAACACCGCGUGGAGGAUGAAGGCGUUUUCGUUGUAAACUCCUUUUUUGAGGGAAUAACCUUGAAGGUACCU
This 461-nucleotide ribosomal RNA is filed under the name uncultured bacterium. RNAcentral describes it as "bacterial SSU rRNA". It matches the Rfam family "Bacterial small subunit ribosomal RNA", at positions 1 to 480 of the family's 1533-position model. The record is from RNAcentral.